CCUGCUCUACAAUCCCAGUGGUUAAUGAUGCACGUAAGUAUGAUGUUAUUGAGUUAUGCAGCUCUUUUAUGUGGAU
RNAcentral lists this transfer RNA (76 nucleotides) under Laurus azorica. RNAcentral describes it as "tRNA-Met". The record is from RNAcentral. Lineage: Eukaryota; Viridiplantae; Streptophyta; Magnoliopsida; Laurales; Lauraceae.